This 71-nucleotide transfer RNA is filed under the name Alosa alosa (allis shad). RNAcentral's name for it is "tRNA-OTHER". Lineage: Eukaryota; Metazoa; Chordata; Actinopteri; Clupeiformes; Clupeidae. The record is from RNAcentral.
GCCUCGUUAGUAUAGUGGUCAGUAUCCCCGCCUGUCACGCUGAGUCCUGGGUUCAAUUUCGACGGGAGGCA